Capra hircus (goat) is the source of this 216-nucleotide small nuclear RNA. Its record names the gene U2. It matches the Rfam family "U2 spliceosomal RNA". Rfam says of the family: U2 is a small nuclear RNA (snRNA) component of the spliceosome (involved in pre-mRNA splicing). Complementary binding between U2 snRNA (in an area lying towards the 5' end but 3' to hairpin I) and the branchpoint sequence (BPS) of the intron results the bulging out of an unpaired adenosine, on the BPS, which initiates a nucleophilic attack at the intronic 5' splice site, thus starting the first of two transesterification reactions that mediate splicing. The record is from Ensembl. Lineage: Eukaryota; Metazoa; Chordata; Mammalia; Artiodactyla; Bovidae.
AUAAUUUUCUCGGCCUUUUGGCUAACAUCAAGUGUAGCAUCUGUUCUUAUCAUUUUAACAUCUGAUACAUCCUCUAUCUGAGGACAAUAUAUUAAAUGGAUGCUUAGAACUAGGAGUUUGAAUCAGAGGCUCAGAUAGUAAAGAAUCUGCCUGCAGUGCGGGAGACCUGAGUUCAAUCCCUUGGUUGGAAAGAUCCCCUAGAGAAUGGAAUGGCAA